This 425-nucleotide ribosomal RNA is filed under the name uncultured bacterium. RNAcentral describes it as "bacterial SSU rRNA". It matches the Rfam family "Bacterial small subunit ribosomal RNA", at positions 355 to 796 of the family's 1533-position model. The record is from RNAcentral.
UAGGGAAUUUUCCACAAUGGGCGAAAGCCUGAUGGAGCAACGCCGCGUGCAGGAUGAAUGUCUUCGGAUUGUAAACUGCUUUUAUAUGUGACGAUUAUGACGGUAGCAUAUGAAUAAGGAUCGGCUAACUCCGUGCCAGCAGCCGCGGUCAUACGGAGGAUCCAAGCGUUAUCCGGAAUUACUGGGCGUAAAGAGUUGCGUAGGCGGCAGAGUAAGCGAAUAGUAAAAUGAUGUGGCUCAACCAUGUGUCUAUUAUUUGAACUGCUCAGCUAGAGGACGAGAGAGGUAACUGGAAUUCCUAGUGUAGGAGUGAAAUCCGUAGAUAUUAGGAGGAACACCGAUGGCGUAGGCAGGUUACUGGCUCGUUCCUGACGCUCAGGCACGAAAGCGUGGGUAGCAAACAGGAUUAGAUACCCCCGUAGUCC